This 440-nucleotide ribosomal RNA is filed under the name uncultured bacterium. RNAcentral describes it as "partial 16S ribosomal RNA". It matches the Rfam family "Bacterial small subunit ribosomal RNA", at positions 338 to 795 of the family's 1533-position model. The record is from RNAcentral.
CCUACGGGAGGCAGCAGUGGGGAAUAUUGCACAAUGGGCGAAACCCUGAUGCAGCGACGCCGCGUGAGUGAAGAAGUAAUUCGUUAUGUAAAGCUCUAUCAGCAGGGAAGAAAAUGACGUUACCUGUGUAAGAAGCCCCGGCGAACUACGUGCCAGCAGCCGCGGUAAUACGUAGGGGGCAAGCGUUAUCCGGAUUUACUGGGUGUAAAGGGAGCGUAGACGGCUGUGCAAGCCUGGAGUGAAAGGCGCGGGCUCAACCCCCGGACUGCUGUGGAAACUGGCCGGCUGGAGUGCAGGAGAGGUAGGUGGAAUUCGUGGUGUAGCGGGGAAAUGCGUAGAUAUUAGGAGGAACACCAGUGGCGAAGGCGGCUUACUGGACUGUAACUGACGUUGAGGCUCGAAAGCGUGGGGAGCAAACAGGAUUAGAUACCCGUGUAGUC